AGGAAACUCACAUUAUUCUCUUCAUGGCCAGCAGAAGAAAUAGAAUUUCUUGUUCACUGCUCCCUACAGAGAUUUUACAGGACAGGAACAACUGUUGUCCCAGAAAGUUUAAACUCUUACUUCUUAGUAGUUGUAAAAUCGGGUCGAUGUCUGAUAGUGACACAAGUGGAUCAAGAGAGAAUAUAUGCACACUCCAAUGAAAUGCAGAAUUUUUCUUCUCUUUGUGAUGACUUUAUCACAAUAUCAUCAUUAAAAGAAAAGAAGGAUUUGACUAGAAGACUUUGGGAAAGAUCUCUUUAUUCAGCUGCUCAGAGAACUCCUCUUACUCAGAUGCCCAGAAGACCAAGACCUCAAACAGCUGCAGUAUUAUGUUAUUCGCUCAGGGACAGAAAAGCCUUUGGUGACCUGGAACAGAAAGGUAAUGAGGCACUACAUGUGAACCUAAUAGAAGGUGAAAAAGUUGCCGAGACAAAGAGAGGUGGAAGGAAACAAAAGGUGGCUUCAUCAGUUCCUCAGUUCCUGAAGAUAAGGGCGCUGGAACAAGGUGGCAUUUUUGGUUUGGCAGAAACAAUGGACAAGUUUUGUUGCCUUCAGUUUAGCUUG
RNAcentral lists this long non-coding RNA (603 nucleotides) under Gopherus agassizii (Agassiz's desert tortoise). RNAcentral's name for it is "lncRNA (ENSGAGG00000012868.1)". Lineage: Eukaryota; Metazoa; Chordata; Testudines; Testudinidae. The record is from RNAcentral.